This 149-nucleotide microRNA precursor is filed under the name Marmota monax (woodchuck). Lineage: Eukaryota; Metazoa; Chordata; Mammalia; Rodentia; Sciuridae. The record is from RNAcentral.
CUGUUACAGCUGCUUCUCUCUCUCUCUCUCUCUCUCUCUCUCUCUCUCUCUCUCUCUCUGUGUGUGUGUGUGUGUGUGUGUGUGUGAGAGAGAGAGAGAGAGAGAGAGAGAGAGAGAGAGACAGAGAAAGAGAGAGAAUGAAUUAUUUG